RNAcentral lists this long non-coding RNA (1122 nucleotides) under Piliocolobus tephrosceles (Ugandan red Colobus). Its description in RNAcentral is "lncRNA (ENSPTEG00000014431.1)". The record is from RNAcentral. Lineage: Eukaryota; Metazoa; Chordata; Mammalia; Primates; Cercopithecidae.
GAUAAAUAUAAUAUGCUUACAAAACCUAUUAACUUUUUAAAAAGAAUUGCUAAUAAACAUUGUGUUUUUAUAGACAGAUUAAAUAAUUAUGAAAAUAAAAACUGUAAUUUAUUGAUAGUAGGUUGCCAUGAAGACAUAGAAAGUUGCAUAUUUUUUCUGGAAAAUGUAAAUUAUAGUGAAAGAAAUGUAGUACAAAUAAACAAGAAUGUUGUUAAAAAUAUGUUUAACAUAGUAGAUGGUAAAAUAAAAAAAAUAGAAGAAGACACGAAUGUAUUUAUUCAAUUAGAUAAUAAUGACUUUUUGUAUUAUUGUGGUAUGAAACAAGACGUACAUAAAUUAAAAAAAUUAAUUGAAGAAGCUACAGAAGAAUAUAAUUCACAUGUAAAGUCUAUGACAAAAAGCAUAAAUUUAAAUUAUCUAAAAGCUAGAGGAUUUGACAGAAGUUUAUUAAAAGAUAUAGAACGUAACACAAAUACCAUGAUUAGGAUAAAAUAUGAUAUAAAUACAAAAGAAGCAGUGGCUGAAAUAAAAGGAAAAAACAGUACAGAUAUAGAAGAAGCAGAAAAACAAAUUUGCGAUAUUGUCGAUAAUUUACAUACAAAAUGUAUUGAGUAUGGUAAAAAUGAAAGGUACAACAUUUUUAGGAGAUGUGGUUAUGAAUUAAAUGACAUUAAAAAAAAAUUAAAUGUAUUUAUUUUGAGAAAUGAUAAUGGGUUUGAUUUUGUCGGUUCUGAAGAAAAUAUAAAAAAAGCACAGGAAGUAUUGGAUUAUGCAUUAAAUGUAAAACUUAUUACAUCUAUUAAAAAAACAUUAACAGAAGAAGAAUCUUAUUUGUUUAAUGCAAAUUUCCGUAAUCAAAUUAAAGCUAAAACUGGAGCAGAAGUUAAGAUAUAUAACAAAGAAGAUUACAAAGAGUUAAAUAUUAGUGGUAAUAAAACAGACAUAGAAAAUGCUUUACAAAUGAUAGAUGAAUUAUUAAGAGAAAAAAAAUGUACUGAAGUAGCAAUUAAUGAAGAUGUAAUUGCUUUAUUGUUAUCUGCUAAAGCACAAAAAAUUAAAGACAUUGAAAAGGAUACAUGUACUAGUAUACAAAUAAAUAAAAAUACAUAUGUUGCACAAAUA